UGGGGAAUUUUGGACAAUGGGCGCAAGCCUGAUCCAGCCAUGCCGCGUGCGGGAAGAAGGCCUUCGGGUUGUAAACCGCUUUUGUACGGAACGAAACGGUCUUUUUUAAUACAAGGGGCUAAUGACGGUACCGUAAGAAUAAGCACCGGCUAACUACGUGCCAGCAGCCGCGGUAAUACGUAGGGUGCGAGCGUUAAUCGGAAUUACUGGGCGUAAAGCGUGCGCAGGCGGUUAUAUAAGACAGUUGUGAAAUCCCCGGGCUCAACCUGGGAAUUGCAUCUGUGACUGUAUAGCUAGAGUACGGUAGAGGGGGAUGGAAUUCCGCGUGUAGCAGUGAAAUGCGUAGAUAUGCGGAGGAACACCGAUGGCGAAGGCAAUCCCCUGGACCUGUACUGACGCUCAUGCACGAAAGCGUGGGGAGCAAACA
This 427-nucleotide ribosomal RNA is filed under the name uncultured bacterium. Its description in RNAcentral is "bacterial SSU rRNA". It matches the Rfam family "Bacterial small subunit ribosomal RNA", at positions 355 to 774 of the family's 1533-position model. The record is from RNAcentral.